This 253-nucleotide ribosomal RNA is filed under the name uncultured bacterium. RNAcentral's name for it is "partial 16S ribosomal RNA". It matches the Rfam family "Bacterial small subunit ribosomal RNA", at positions 524 to 776 of the family's 1533-position model. The record is from RNAcentral.
UACGUAGGGUGCAAGCGUUAAUCGGAAUUACUGGGCGUAAAGAGCUCGUAGGCGGUCCGUCACGUCGGCUGUGAAAACCUGGGGCUCAACCCCGGGCCUGCAGCUGAUACGGGCGGACUAGAAUUCGGUAGGGGAGACUGGAAUUCCUGGUGUAGCGGUGAAAUGCGCAGAUAUCAGGAGGAACACCGGUGGCGAAGGCGGGUCUCUGGGCCGAUAUUGACGCUGAGGAGCGAAAGCGUGGGGAGCGAACAGG